UCACACAAGAAACCCAAGUUAACCGUAUACGGCGUAAAGAGUGGAUUAACUACUAUCACAACGAUUAAGGCCAAAACGUACCUAAGCUGUCAUAAGCCUAAGAUACAUCUAAAACCACCCUAAAAACGACCUUAACCUCCCACGAUCAAUUAAACUCCACGAAAGCCAGGGCACAAACUGGGAUUAGAUACCCCACUAUGCUUGGCCCUAAAUCUUAAUGCUUACCGUACUAAAGCAUUCGCCCGAGAACUACGAGCACAAACGCUUAAAACUCUAAGGACUUGGCGGUGCCACAAACCCACCUAGAGGAGCCUGUCCUAUAAUCGACAACCCACGAUACACCCGACCACUUCUUGCCAAAACAGCCUACAUACCGCCGGCGCCAGCCCCCCUCCCUUGAGAGCACARCAGUGAACAAAAUAGCCCUAACCCCGCUAACAAGACAGGUCAAGGUAUAGCCUAUGAAGUGGAAGAGAUGGGCUACAUUUUCUAACAUAGAAAACCCUCACCCCAACUUAACGGAAAGGAGUAUGACACAACUCCUAGAAGGUGGAUUUAACAGUAGAGCGGGAUAACAUAAGCCCCCUUUAAACCGGCUCUGAGGCACGUACAUAGCGCCCGUCACCCUCCUCACAAGCUCCAACAACACAUAAAUAAUACACCCCCCCCSGGAAAAAGAUGAGGUAAAGGUAAAAGUG
This 698-nucleotide ribosomal RNA is filed under the name Lopholaimus antarcticus. Its description in RNAcentral is "partial 12S ribosomal RNA". It matches the Rfam family "Bacterial small subunit ribosomal RNA", at positions 523 to 1474 of the family's 1533-position model. Lineage: Eukaryota; Metazoa; Chordata; Aves; Columbiformes; Columbidae. The record is from RNAcentral.